Molecule: ribosomal RNA, 449 nt
Filed under: uncultured bacterium
Lineage: Bacteria
Description: partial 16S ribosomal RNA
Rfam family: Bacterial small subunit ribosomal RNA
Source: RNAcentral
GCGCCAGACUCCUACGGGAGGCAGCAGUGGGGAAUAUUGCACAAUGGGGGAAACCCUGAUGCAGCGACGCCGCGUGAGCGAUGAAGUAUUUCGGUAUGUAAAGCUCUAUCAGCAGGGAAGAAAAUGACGGUACCUGACUAAGAAGCCCCGGCUAACUACGUGCCAGCAGCCGCGGUAAUACGUAGGGGGCAAGCGUUAUCCGGAUUUACUGGGUGUAAAGGGAGCGUAGACGGCGGUGCAAGCCAGAUGUGAAAGCCCGGGGCUCAACCCCGGGACUGCAUUUGGAACUGUGCUGCUAGAGUGUCGGAGAGGCAGGCGGAAUUCCUAGUGUAGCGGUGAAAUGCGUAGAUAUCAGGAGGAACACCGGUGGCGAAGGCGGCCUGCUGGACUGCGACUGACGUUGAGGCCCGAAAGCGUGGGGAGCAAACAGGAUUAGAUACCCCCGUACA